AUGCUCACCUCAGCAGCACAUAUACUGAAAUUAGAACAAGACAGAGAAAAUUAGUAUGGUAUGCACAAGCAUUCCAUGCAAAUUCAUGAAGCAUUCCAUAUUUUC
Callithrix jacchus (white-tufted-ear marmoset) is the source of this 105-nucleotide small nuclear RNA. The record is from Ensembl. NCBI's taxonomy places the organism in Eukaryota, Metazoa, Chordata, Mammalia, Primates, Cebidae.